GCGGGCGUAGUUCACCGGUAGAACGUCUCGUUGCCAACGAGAAGGCAGUGGGUUCGAUCCCCAUCGCCCGCUCCA
Molecule: transfer RNA, 75 nt
Filed under: Candidatus Levybacteria bacterium RBG_16_35_6
Lineage: Bacteria; Candidatus Levyibacteriota
Description: tRNA-Gly
Rfam family: tRNA
About the family: Transfer RNA (tRNA) molecules are approximately 80 nucleotides in length.
Source: RNAcentral